Long non-coding RNA from Bombus pyrosoma, 5001 nucleotides. RefSeq lists it as uncharacterized. The transcript is spliced from 2 exons. The record is from RefSeq and is a predicted model, not a curated record. NCBI's taxonomy places the organism in Eukaryota, Metazoa, Arthropoda, Insecta, Hymenoptera, Apidae.
UUUUGACAAGGAGGAAAGUUAUUCUAAAAUUAUUCAAGAUUUGACAAUUACAAAUGCCAAAUUUAUUGCUUGUUGACUUCUAAAAAACAACUUAGCAAUGUUGAAAUAUUCUCUAUCAUAUAAUUAUACGAUAUUGUUAUAUAAUGUAGUUACAAGUAUAGUAAUGAUAAUAAGAUCAUUGCGAGAACUGCGAGGUAGCAGAUUUUCUCGUUUAUCCAUAACUUUACAAUUAAAAUACAUCUUGCCGAAACUGGAAAAAUUUUCUGCGUACUUUCGAACGGUAGUGCAAGGUGUAAGUUGUAUAAGUACUCGAACAGAAAGAAACUCGGAAGACAUAUCUAAACGAUGAGAAAGAGAUUUAUGACGGGUCUAGGUGCCAGUCGAUUAUUAGGCCAAACCAGUAUCGUGCCAAAUCCGCUGAAUAAAUAUAGAAGCCACGGGAUAAAUGUCGCGUGUCGUACAAGAUAUAUAUGUUUUGAAUUUCGAGAAUCACGUUUCUAAGGAUAUAUACACGCUCAUUUUUACCAUUUACAAUUAUAUUGCUGAAAGGGCGGUUAAAUCUAACUGUCACCGCACGUCGAGCAGCAAACAAGUUGUAUUACCGUAAUCUCAUCACUGGGACGCAGAUUAUAUCCGCGUUUCUGUUAAUUCCACGUUAAAUAAUUUUCGUUGAACACGCAGACUUCCAGGAUCUAAUCUUCUCUGUGCAGCGUGUUUCGUCAUGUUCGCUUGUCUUCCUUGUUUCUUCGAUAACGCGCAACGAUCGAGCCCCUCAACAAUCUCAAAAUCCAAUCUGAUUAAACUGGGGUUAACUUCGUUCUCUCUUAAUUUCUUAAUUUCAUCGCAUUAAAUACGCUUACUGUUUACAUAAAUGCAUCCGGCUUGAUUCGCAAAUUCGAAGAAGCGGGUCGUCGUGUCAAUGGAUCUUUCACCGCGCAUCAUCGAACGAAUCUGUUCUUCUUCGUCCCUUUCUCUUCCUUCCUUCUUAUCGAAUCCCGAGGUUCUUUCAUAAUUUUGCCUUUACUAGGUAUUACACGAGUGUCACGCGUUGAGGCUAACUUAUGUGAUACUUGACACACUGCUACCAGCGAUAACGAGCCACCUGGAACGAGACUAACGAGCAUCUCACAUUUCGUAUGAUGUAUUCUGCCGUUACUGACAUAGUACGCGAUACAUCCACGCUAGAGAUGAGUCAUUACACACCUUGUGUAUUGUCCACCCUCGCCAUGGGGGCUUCCUUCCGUGAAGAAAUCGUCGAACCGCCUCCAAUUAUUGAACUUCGAUUAGAUCUCGAUUGUUCGUCCCGGACACGUCUGGUGUAACGUGUAAACCGGUUGUGAUAAUGAGUCAAGAGAAUUGCGUCAUAAAUCGUAAUUGAUUUUGUAGUUGCUGAUAUUCUAGACUGGACGUAUUGUCGCUAAUACUACAUUGUCGAAAAGCAUUUUAUUGCAAAAAAAUUAAAUGGUAUAUUGACCGUAUAUCGCUUAUCGUUAUCGGCCAGCGUGAAACAUGUUGUUAGGAUAUCUGUUGAUAGUUGGAGAAAAAUUAAAAUAAAACAGUUUUCUAAAAUAUUUACAGUUUACUUUACUAUGCGGAGGAUUAGAAUCUCUACGUCUCUCUUAUUUUAAUCUAAACUAUAAGUAUAUAUAUAAAUAUAAAUUUUUAGAAUAUUUUAUAUGGAUCGUGGAUGUUUGUAUAUUCAUAGAAAAUUGGAAUUUCCUGAAAUCGAUAGAAUAUAUAAUACCUACUUAGUAUAAUUUUUAGUAGAAUUUUUUGCUUAGAUAUCAUGUUUUGAGUUAUUCAUAAAAAUAUUAUUCAUAAAAUUUAUGUAUGUACUUUCGACCAGUUUUUAAUGAUAAUGAUCCAAUAUAAAUCACGGGCGCUUUGAAAAGUAAAGGUGUCAUACGUAAAUAUUCCAAGGAUCAUGGAGAAAUUAACGUACACGCGUACAGAUCAACGUAACACAGAGAAAAAUACAACAUCGAUAUUAACCUGAAGUUAAAGAAUAAAAGUGAGAUCAUUACUUAUACAUUUAAUAAAAUGCUUCAUGUAAGGAUUGUAAAUCGAAAGUUCGUCCGAAGCCGAAAGGCACGGACUAGAAUAAAUAAUAAUAAUAAUAAAUAAUAAAAUCCUUCGCUUUAACUUAUUUUCUCUAAUUAUUCGAAAAUACGAUCAUAUGCACGAUAGUCCUCUAUAAAGCGAAGGAAUUCGAUCAUUUGUCCAUUCUUAAUUCUCCUUUUUAUUUUAAUCCAUUCUAAGAAGAAAUGGCCGCAAGAUAAUUUAAAUAUAAUAAAGACCAACAAUGCAAGGACUACAUAGUGACGUCAACUGAACAUUUCCAUUUAAAGUUAAGCAGAAAUAUCGUGUCUAUCAUUAAUCUUGGUCAUACUAUAUUCAGUUACGCUUUUCCUUUUUCUUACACAUUCUGCAUUUCGAAAAUGUACAUACGCAGAACGUAUCAUCUUGAUAGAAAGAUGCUGCAUACGCAUGACAUCUCGUUCCUCGACAACCGCUGAUUCUCCUCGUCACAUUGACUUACACUCGUCGGACCGUACAUUUCAAUCCCGCUUCAGAACGUUUUCUCAUGCUAAUUUCGCCGUGGCCCGUUUCCAUCUCGCACGACGCUCACGUACACCGUCUAAAUCAGUUUGUUUGCGGAACGGCGUGCGAAACAUUCUACGCUGAUGCACUGUAUACGUCCGAUCAUUAACAAUAACUUAUUCACCUGUCAGAUAAGUUGUUGCACGUUAACAGCAUAUUUUCUGCAAACGUUAGUUUCCACUCGGUAUCAACUCGCAAGUAAUAAUUUUGAAGCGCCUUAAAAAUUCUUGAUUAAAAAUAAAUCAUAUUAGAAUAUACGUAUAAGAAUAAGUUAUAUUUAGACUUGGGUAGAUGUUUAUGCAAAUUGAUAUUUCUAUAAACAGAACUAAAGACGCAGAGAUUUGUUUCACCUAUUGGAUAUCAUGACGGAUACUGUAUUUUGCUUCUUUCGUAUAUGUGUUUGCAUAUUACGCGCAUUCCGUACAUUUUUACUUUUACGUUUCUUUUAACGUCUCAAUUUAAAUUUAUACGAGGCACCGAGGACAAAAGUGAAUUAAGUCAUAUCUUCUCUCGAUGCAAGUUUACGUUAAUUAACUUAUUGCAAUAAGCUGUAUUAAUCGUGAUAAAGUGGAGGAACUCGUCCUUUUUUCAAAACAAGCCUAGAUAACAUAACGAAAUCGGUCGUUGCAUUGAAUAUUUUAUGCUUCAGUUUUUUUAGACAUAUUUAGUAAAUUGCUCGAUUUGUUGACUAACUGGGAUUCGCCCACUUUUGUUUUCAACGUUUAGCGUGUACGUGUAAUCUACUCUUGCUGCUGAUACUUUCGAAGUAAAUCUAGAAGCUCGAAAGCUUGAGAAAUUAAUUAAAAAACAGAGAUUUUUCAUUUAUAAUAGAAGAUCAGUGUAAUAGAAGAUCAAUGAAUUAGGUUUUGCACUCGAGGUAAUCUAAUCUGUACACAUUUUAGAAAAGAAUCGAUUUCUUUUUAAUUUCUCAAGAUACGCGCACAAAGAGAGGAGAGGUUCUAUCACUUUCGAAUAAUGCGAUUGAUUCCAUUCUAUCAAUGAAGGCAUGCCGAUGUUUGCCAACCAUUUCAACGAGCUUCAUUGUCUUUCUUCAAUUUUAUUAUUAGGUUUCAUAGCACGCGCAAACGCAUAACAUAUGCGAAAUGAAAAUAGAUUCAUUGCGCUUCUGUUACCAUGGCCUUCGCUGCAUAUUUGCUUACAAGGUGCGUCUUAAAAGCAUUGUAAACACCGCGUACUCUAUCUACCAGUUGAUUGCGUAUCUCGUUUGGCGCGGAAAGAAUCGAACUCGCCGCAGUGCCACUUGCUUUAUCCAUAGGCCGCUUACUAGAACCAAAUCUAAACCGUUGUUGACUUAUCGCAGUUGCGUGAACACUACAGUAAUUGAAGAAUACUCGUUAAAACAGAUAAUUUUCGAUUAUUUGGAACAUUUAAAAACAAUGUAAAAAUAAGUUUGUUCUUCUUUAAAUACUAUCCCGAAGAAAAUACAUGACGAUGAUUCAAAUGGUUAUUCAUACGCAAGACGAAAAUCAAAAAUAACAAAAGUGCGGAGGCUUCGUGUUUGAGAAGAGAAAAUCGAGUUUGAAAACUUACGAGGUACAGGGUACGUGAAUUUGACCAAUUGUCGGCUAGACAAGAAUGGACAACUGAUAGGAAGUUAUUCUACACAAAUAAAUUAAAAAUGAAGAAUAAAAUUUUGUUGUUUACACUCUCGUUUUGGGGAAAAUGAAAUUUAGAUAUGUUAGCCAAGAAUUAGUCCAAGUAGACGUAGAUUUUAUCGAAAAAUGAGACUUCAGAUGAAAAGAUUUUAUUCUACAUUUUUUAUACAUAUUUCCAUAUGUAAUAUAAUUCAUUGAUUACAGAUCAUCGACUAUCUACUCCUGUCCGAGAAUCAAACGAAUUUACGCAUACCUCACAAAUUUUCAAACUCGAUUUUCUCAAAAAACGAAGCCCCAAACGCAGUUUUGUAUGUGUUCAAAUUCUAUUAGUCAUCGCAUGUACAAUCAGUCACGAAAAUAUUCUUCAAAUUUAUUGCAGUUACAGGCUAAAACUCGCGAAGAACUGCAAACUUAUAGCGACGUUAAUUGAUUUCGAUGAAACUUUCAGUAUGUAUAUAACUGAUAUAAAUGCCCAAAAUGUGUUGCUUAAAUUUUUCCAAUAUUUCUUUUACACAUUAUCUGAUACUAAUCCUUCUGGUUUCUCAAGAAAGCUCAAGUCGUUUGAUCCAAUUUUUGAACAGUUAUUCUACUUUAAAGAGUGUACAGAUAUUUUCGUGACUGACUACAGUCAACGCUUACGAUAAGAAAGAAAAAUUAUAAGCCAUAGAAAAACCCGGUGAACUAUUACGCGAACGGUCCAGCUAAUUUUUAUUAUCAACUUAAUCCUACGAUGUAUAUCUACCGAUAAAUGAAGUUAAGUUAAAAAAAAAAACAGAGAAACUCA